Molecule: ribosomal RNA, 685 nt
Filed under: uncultured Bacilli bacterium
Lineage: Bacteria; Bacillati; Bacillota; Bacilli
Description: bacterial SSU rRNA
Rfam family: Bacterial small subunit ribosomal RNA
Source: RNAcentral
GCUGAAGAGAGGAGCUUGCUCUUCUUGGAUGAGUUGCGAACGGGUGAGUAACGCGUAGGUAACCUGCCUUGUAGCGGGGGAUAACUAUUGGAAACGAUAGCUAAUACCGCAUAACAAUGGAUGACACAUGUCAUUUAUUUGAAAGGGGCAAUUGCUCCACUACAAGAUGGACCUGCGUUGUAUUAGCUAGUAGGUGAGGUAACGGCUCACCUAGGCGACGAUACAUAGCCGACCUGAGAGGGUGAUCGGCCACACUGGGACUGAGACACGGCCCAGACUCCUACGGGAGGCAGCAGUAGGGAAUCUUCGGCAAUGGGGGCAACCCUGACCGAGCAACGCCGCGUGAGUGAAGAAGGUUUUCGGAUCGUAAAGCUCUGUUGUAAGUCAAGAACGAGUGUGAGAGUGGAAAGUUCACACUGUGACGGUAGCUUACCAGAAAGGGACGGCUAACUACGUGCCAGCAGCCGCGGUAAUACGUAGGUCCCGAGCGUUGUCCGGAUUUAUUGGGCGUAAAGCGAGCGCAGGCGGUUUGAUAAGUCUGAAGUUAAAGGCUGUGGCUCAACCAUAGUUCGCUUUGGAAACUGUCAAACUUGAGUGCAGAAGGGGAGAGUGGAAUUCCAUGUGUAGCGGUGAAAUGCGUAGAUAUAUGGAGGAACACCGGUGGCGAAAGCGGCUCUCUGGUCUG